GAAUCACACGGUUCCAGUUUCUCAGCCACAUCAGGAGGAUGAUGUAUUAAGAUAUAUACAGUAAAAUGUUUUUCUUAGCUGCUUCACAAAAACAGGAAUCAACUAGCAGAGAAGAAAGACUUUCUCUCCCCGAGGAAAAGAGUACAAAGCCAAGUCUGUACACAGCAGAUGCAAAGAAAGUCCAUCUGCUACCAGCUCACAACACCACAUGGAGUUCUAAGAUUUAAUACUACACUUGUAAUUUAUCAUGCUGUAAAUGUUUGUGAAGAAUUGUGAAGAACAGAUACAAUGAUACACCAAAAAGGGGAAAAAUGAUCAUCUGUUAUCAUGUCAGUCAAAUGAAAUUUUCACACAAAUCUGUUUACAAUAGGAAUGAUGAUAUUGUGCUUCAGUGCAACACCGUGCUAUCAACCUCUGAGGCUUUUGACCUUCCGAGGUCAAAAAGGACAAACAAUACCACUAGUGUCUGCUUUGCAAAAAGCUGGGGUUGCUGUCUGCAAGCAAUGGUAUCAUUUCCAUGGCAACCCCCUAACUAUUAAUUUUCAAUUAAAGCAGACACAAAGCGGACAGCCUCAGGCCGACAGACGAUGUCAAGAGCCUAUCUCUAUAUGCAACAGUUUCACGCAGUUAU
Chiloscyllium plagiosum (whitespotted bambooshark) is the source of this 631-nucleotide long non-coding RNA. RefSeq lists it as uncharacterized. The record is from RefSeq and is a predicted model, not a curated record. NCBI's taxonomy places the organism in Eukaryota, Metazoa, Chordata, Chondrichthyes, Orectolobiformes, Hemiscylliidae.